Dipodomys ordii (Ord's kangaroo rat) is the source of this 65-nucleotide non-coding RNA. Lineage: Eukaryota; Metazoa; Chordata; Mammalia; Rodentia; Heteromyidae. The record is from Rfam.
GGUGGCUCAGUGGUUGAGCAUUUGCCUUGCAUGCAUAAGGCCCUGGGUUCGAUUCCUCAGCACCA